This is an RNA transcript of Zea mays, 1641 nucleotides long. It is a transcript of the gene named 40S ribosomal protein S3 pseudogene, with no coding region annotated. NCBI's taxonomy places the organism in Eukaryota, Viridiplantae, Streptophyta, Magnoliopsida, Poales, Poaceae. The transcript is spliced from 3 exons. The record is from RefSeq and is marked validated.
CGCCGCCGGCCUCUCCACCGUUCAUUCUCCUAUGGCAUCUACUCACGCAAGCAGUCCUAUUCCUGAUUCCUUGCUCGGCUUGCGUGGCCCAUGGAUUCGAUGUCAUAUCAUGUGUUGUUUGCUCACCCGCCUGGUCGCAGUUCGUGUCGGAUGGCGUGUUCUUCGCGGAGCUGAAUGAGAUGCUCGCGGAGGACGGCUACUCCGGCGUCGAGGUCCGCGUCACCCCCAUGUGCAUCGAGAUCAUCAUCCGUGCCACCCGCGCCCAGAACAUACUCGCGAGAAGGGCCGGAGGAUCAGAGAGCUGGCUUCUGUGAUUCAGAAGCGCUUUAACUUAUCAGAGGGUGGCGUUGAGCUCUACGCAGAGAAGCUGAACAACCGCGGGCUCUGCGACAUUGCCCAGGCCGAGUCGCUCCGCUACAAGCUUCUCGGUGAACUCGCCGUGAGAAGGGCAUGUUAUGGUGUUCUCUUAUUUGUCAUCGAGAGUGGUACUAAGGGCUGCGAGGUGUGAGUUCCACAAAUAAAAACCAUUCCAGUUUUUGUUUCUAUCUCGCUGCACCAUGUUAUCCUGACAAUUUUUGCUAGUGUGCUAUUUAAACUGAUGGAACAAUUACAGAACACUUUCCUUUGUCGAAAUUCAUGAGUGAAUUGUUAACCUAGUAUGGUCCUGCAGGAUAGUGUGCAUCAGCUUUGCCCUGUUUUGAUGCGUCUUUUGCUGAAAGUGUUUCCUGCUAUAUCAAUCCGAGUUAAAUGGGCAGUUGGGUUAAGCAUAUCUGCUUUCUCCGACAAUCAUUUUCCUCACAUGUACUCAGGAAGUUAUUUUUUUGCGUUCUAUAUGCUGCUGUUAUCUGUUUUGUUGGUUAGCUUUGUCAGAUAUAUUUGUUUCAACGACAAGUUAGUGUAGGCUAGAGUUGAAACCCAACAAAAACCAUAUGUCAAGGUUAAAGCGAUAGGCUAAAUCUUUGGUAUAUUUCAUCCUUUCAAAUCUCUUACUGCUUUAUGUCAACUUCGACCUUCCUCUAUCUCUCUUUUUAUUGCUAUUGUGACUUGAAAGAUGUUAGAACAGGUAUUCUACAUUUAUGUUCUUCUCAUCCGGAUUGCCAUAUGUUUUCUUCAGUUCUGCACAACUAGUUGCUCUGCAGGAUAGUGUGUAUCGGCUUUGUGCUAACUUAUAUGCAUUUUGUGCCGUAAGUGUUUCCUGCUAUAUAGACUGAAGGAAAGUGGGCAGUUGGGUUAGACUUGUAUCCUGUCUUUUCCAACAAUCAUUUUCCUCUCAUGUGACAUAAUACAUUUAUUCUUGGAAACUAGUUUUUGAAUUGCUGUCUUAGCAUUUACAUGUUUAGCUGCUUUAUUAUACUGUAUGCAUCCAGGGGUAUGGAAUAUGGUCUGUUGCAUGUGCUUUUUCCUGGUAUGCAAAGCAUGUAGUUUGAAUUCCAUGGGUUGUGUUAUAUGUUUCGCUAUCUAAGUCAGCUUCAUCUGAAAAUGAUAAGCAGAUCAGUUUCAAUUGGAACAUGCCAAGCUGAAGCGAUACUCACCUGCAAGGAGCGUCUUCUCUGUGUACUGCGUCGAAGCUUUACCUUUUUAUGUAAAUUACGCUGUAAAUGUACAGUUCCUCUGGACACUGAAUUUCUAAGGGCUUUUUUU